This 400-nucleotide ribosomal RNA is filed under the name uncultured soil bacterium. RNAcentral describes it as "bacterial SSU rRNA". It matches the Rfam family "Bacterial small subunit ribosomal RNA", at positions 975 to 1375 of the family's 1533-position model. The record is from RNAcentral.
CUGGGUUUGACAUGCACAGGACGACGGCAGAGAUGUCGUUUCCCUUGUGGCCUGUGUGCAGGUGGUGCAUGGCUGUCGUCAGCUCGUGUCGUGAGAUGUUGGGUUAAGUCCCGCAACGAGCGCAACCCUUAUUUCAUGUUGCCAGCGCGUUAUGGCGGGGACUCGUGAGAGACUGCCGGGGUCAACUCGGAGGAAGGUGGGGAUGACGUCAAGUCAUCAUGCCCCUUAUGUCCAGGGCUUCACACAUGCUACAAUGGCCGGUACAAAGGGCUGCGAUGCCGCGAGGCUUAGCGAAUCCUUUAAAGCCGGUCUCAGUUCGGAUCGGGGUCUGCAACUCGACCCCGUGAAGUCGGAGUCGCUAGUAAUCGCAGAUCAGCAACGCUGCGGUGAAUACGUUCCC